RNAcentral lists this long non-coding RNA (616 nucleotides) under Musa acuminata (dwarf banana). RNAcentral describes it as "long non-coding RNA (MACU_LNC011532)". The record is from RNAcentral. Lineage: Eukaryota; Viridiplantae; Streptophyta; Magnoliopsida; Zingiberales; Musaceae.
CUGCCAAGCGUAUACUUUAGAGUUGCAUUCUGACCUUUCUUACCACUGAGUGGAAUUAAGAGAUCCGUUCACAUAUAUAAAGAGAAUCUAUAAUUAUGUAGGCUUUCCUCUACUAUGUAAGUACUGAGUCAAUGGAACUCAAAUCUCUCUUUUCUUCUAAGCUUAACACAAGCACCCGACCUAGACUGCUUAGGGACAUUCUGAUCUAGCUACCCCACACCCGAAACUUCCCCCACAGGAUUGAUUUCUUGAUUUCCUUUUGCUUCAAACAAGCACAAUCACCUCUAUCUGACUUGCCAACUCCUGUACUUUAGAUCAGUCGUUUGAUACCUUGUCCUGAGUGAACCCUAUUAAUAGCGUUGGAAGCGAUGACACUUAAGAGAGCUUAUAAUGCAUUUGUAUACCUUAGAGGGCAGGACAGAUUGCCUAGUUGCUUAGGAGAGUAAGUGGUUUCAUUCUCAUUCUUCUACUAGAUGCGGAGUGGAAUACCGGAUUGAGAGGUUAAUAGAGUUAUAUCGGAGUGGAAGCCCUUUAGUAGUAGCACUGGUAUCAGACUUUAGCCCGAGAUACUUAUAGCCAUGGUUUACAGCACCUUAUAGUAGUAGUCCAAGUAGUA